AGCGAACGCUGGCGGCAGGCCUAACACAUGCAAGUCGAACGAACUCUUCGGAGUUAGUGGCGGACGGGUGAGUAACACGUGGGAACGUGCCUUUAGGUUCGGAAUAACUCAGGGAAACUUGUGCUAAUACCGAAUGCGCCCUUCGGGGGAAAGAUUUAUCGCCUUUAGAGCGGCCCGCGUCUGAUUAGAUAGUUGGUGAGGUAAAGGCUCACCAAGGCGACGAUCAGUAGCUGGUCUGAGAGGAUGAUCAGCCACAUUGGGACUGAGACACGGCCCAAACUCCUACGGGAGGCAGCAGUGGGGAAUCUUGCGCAAUGGGCGAAAGCCUGACGCAGCCAUGCCGCGUGAAUGAUGAAGGUCUUAGGAUUGUAAAAUUCUUUCACCGGGGACGAUAAUGACGGUACCCGGAGAAGAAGCCCCGGCUAACUUCGUG
Molecule: ribosomal RNA, 433 nt
Filed under: uncultured bacterium
Lineage: Bacteria
Description: partial 16S ribosomal RNA
Rfam family: Bacterial small subunit ribosomal RNA
Source: RNAcentral